RNAcentral lists this ribosomal RNA (301 nucleotides) under uncultured bacterium. RNAcentral's name for it is "partial 16S ribosomal RNA". It matches the Rfam family "Bacterial small subunit ribosomal RNA", at positions 509 to 807 of the family's 1533-position model. The record is from RNAcentral.
CAGUAGCCACGGGAAUACGAAGGGGGCUAGCGUUGCUCGGAAUGACUGGGCGUAAAGGGCGCGUAGGCGGUUCGUACAGUUGGAUGUGAAAUUCCUGGGCUUAACCUGGGGGCUGCAUUCAAUACGCGCGGGCUUGAGUGUGGAAGAGGGUUGUGGAAUUCCCAGUGCAGAGGUGAAAUUCGUAGAUAUUGGGAAGAACACCGGUGGCGAAGGCGGCAACCUGGUCCAUAACUGACGCUGAGGCGCGAAAGCGUGGGGAGCAAACAGGAUUAGAUACCCGUGUAGUCCCUGUCUCUUAUAC